Molecule: long non-coding RNA, 1282 nt
Filed under: Brachypodium distachyon (stiff brome)
Lineage: Eukaryota; Viridiplantae; Streptophyta; Magnoliopsida; Poales; Poaceae
Description: long non-coding RNA (BDIS_LNC005825)
Source: RNAcentral
UUGGCCUCCGGCUUCGGGAAAAGGUGGGGAAGAAGCGGCGCGACGCGACGAAGGGGGUGGCGGCGAUGGUUCCUCUCGGCGGCGACGAUGGCAACGCCUAGCUCCUCCGGAAGGGGGCGGCGGCGACGGUAGCUUUGGGUGAAUGUCGAUGGUGAGCUACGGUGCACGAAAAAGAGAAUGGAGCGCGUCAAAACGUCCGCAAGGACAAGGGGAAGAAGAAGGUGCGGCCAUGGGGUCGAUGUCGUACCUUGUCGGUGGCGGGGACUAAAAGACGGCGGCGGCCUGUAGCUUACUCCGGCAAGAAAUGGUGACAGCCUGGUGGCGCGAUCAGGAGAGGAAAGAGAGGGGAAAGAGAGAGGAGGGUGCGGGCUUUAUAAUGCCGCGCAUGGAAAGGGGAGGGCGCCACGGAGCUGACGGGGCGGCAGAGAUGGUGGCCGCGGAUCCAACGCGCGGUGAUUCCGGCGGUGACUGGGGGAGGGAGACGACUGACGGGUGGUCCCCGUCGGUCAGCGGCUUGGUGCGCGGGUUGCUGUUGGGCUGGCGCGCGCGGUGAGGUAAGUGGCUCGGUUCGGCCCAAUUGGCCGGACCAGUCCGAUUCCUUCUCUCUUUUUUUCUUUUUUUUUUCCUUUUCUGUUUUUAAAACAAACUUUUGAUUCAAAGCUCCAAAUCAAACCAAAUAAGUUCCAGAAAAUUUGUAAAAUCAAUCCUCAAAUGCCUUAGCCUCUGGGACUUGAAUUACUUCAAAAUAAAAUAUUUAAAAAUAGUUUUGCUUAUAUAGUUGCCUUUAGGGCUUUAUAACUAAUUAAAUAAAAUAGUUUUUCAACUCUAAAUUAAAUACUAAAAUAUGGGGAGCAUAACAGAUGCAAUAAACCCCUAUUGUCAAAACCCUAUUGGUUUGAAAAUUCCAAUAAGAUGGAAGUCAAGAUUCCAAUAAGAGAAAGCUUUGGUAAAGAGAUUUAAAUUUCAAAACCAAGGUUUAAAAGUGGUUAAAAUGCAUAAGAGGCAUGAUGCUUAUGGAUGCAAAUGCAUGAUGCAAAGUUUGAAAAUUUUGGGAUGUUACACCUGCUGAUGUUGUUGUAGCAUGUCUGGCACCUGUAGCCGUGUAACGCCGUGCUCUUGGGCCAUGGGCCGUGAAUGUGUUUCUACGACUGAGUUUAUAAUCAGCGCAGCAUCCGUGAGAGGGGCAUCGAAAAAGUGAAUAGAAACAGAUUCCCUGCCCCUCUUCUUCUUCCUCCCUGAUUUACCUCUCCUACAAUCUCUCGACCUAGCCGACGACCAUCAC